Molecule: ribosomal RNA, 253 nt
Filed under: uncultured bacterium
Lineage: Bacteria
Description: partial 16S ribosomal RNA
Rfam family: Bacterial small subunit ribosomal RNA
Source: RNAcentral
GACGUAGGAUGCAAGCGUUGUCCGGAUUUAUUGGGCGUAAAGAGUUCGUAGGCGGUUCGUUAAGUCUGAUGUUAAAGACUGGGGCUCAACCUCGGAAAUGCAUUGGAUACUGGCGGACUGGAGUACAGUAGAGGCAAGCGGAAUUCCCAGUGUAGCGGUGAAAUGCGUAGAUAUUGGGAAGAACACCGGUGGCGCAAGCGGCUUGCUGGGCUGUAAGUGACGCUGAGGAACGAAAGCUAGGGUAGCGAAUGGG